This 253-nucleotide ribosomal RNA is filed under the name uncultured bacterium. RNAcentral's name for it is "partial 16S ribosomal RNA". It matches the Rfam family "Bacterial small subunit ribosomal RNA", at positions 524 to 776 of the family's 1533-position model. The record is from RNAcentral.
UACGUAGGGCGCAAGCGUUGUCCGGAAUUAUUGGGCGUAAAGAGCUCGAAGGCGGCUUGUCACGUCGGGUGUGAAAGCCCGGGGCUUAACCCCGGGUCUGCAUUCGAUACGGGCUAGCUAGAGUGUGGUAGGGGAGAUCGGAAUUCCUGGUGUAGCGGUGAAAUGCGCAGAUAUCAGGAGGAACACCGGUGGCGAAGGCGGAUCUCUGGGCCAUUACUGACGCUGAGGAGCGAAAGCGUGGGGAGCGAACAGG